Molecule: ribosomal RNA, 473 nt
Filed under: uncultured bacterium
Lineage: Bacteria
Description: bacterial SSU rRNA
Rfam family: Bacterial small subunit ribosomal RNA
Source: RNAcentral
AUUGAACGCUGGCGGCAGGCCUAACACAUGCAAGUCGAGCGGUAGAGAGGUGCUUGCAUCUCUUGAGAGCGGCGGACGGGUGAGUAAUGCCUAGGAAUCUGCCUAGUGGUGGGGGAUAACGUUCGGAAACGGACGCUAAUACCGCAUACGUCCUACGGGAGAAAGCGGGGGGAUCUUCGGACCUCGCGCCAUUAGAUGAGCCUAGGUCGGAUUAGCUAGUUGGUGAGGUAAUGGCUCACCAAGGCGACGAUCCGUAACUGGUCUGAGAGGAUGAUCAGUCACACUGGAACUGAGACACGGUCCAGACUCCUACGGGAGGCAGCAGUGGGGAAUAUUGGACAAUGGGCGAAAGCCUGAUCCAGCCAUGCCGCGUGUGUGAAGAAGGUCUUCGGAUUGUAAAGCACUUUAAGUUUAGGGAGGAAGGGUAGGUAACCUAAUACGUUAGUCUACUUUGACGUUACCGACAGAAUAAG